Molecule: ribosomal RNA, 301 nt
Filed under: uncultured bacterium
Lineage: Bacteria
Description: partial 16S ribosomal RNA
Rfam family: Bacterial small subunit ribosomal RNA
Source: RNAcentral
CAGUAGCCGCGGGAAAACAGAGGGUGCGAGCGUUAAUCGGAUUUACUGGGCGUAAAGCGCGCGUAGGCGGUUACUCAAGUCAGAGGUGAAAGCCCGGGGCUCAACCCCGGAACUGCCUUUGAAACUAGGUGACUAGAAUCUUGGAGAGGUCAGUGGAAUUCCGAGUGUAGAGGUGAAAUUCGUAGAUAUUCGGAAGAACACCAGUGGCGAAGGCGACUGACUGGACAAGUAUUGACGCUGAGGUGCGAAAGCGUGGGGAGCAAACAGGAUUAGAUACCCCCGUAGUCCCUGUCUCUUAUAC